RNAcentral lists this ribosomal RNA (963 nucleotides) under uncultured bacterium. RNAcentral's name for it is "bacterial SSU rRNA". It matches the Rfam family "Bacterial small subunit ribosomal RNA", at positions 8 to 999 of the family's 1533-position model. The record is from RNAcentral.
AGAGUUUGAUCAUGGCUCAGCCUGAACGCUGGCGGCGUGGCUAAGACAUGCAAGUCGUACGGGUGUAGCAAUACACCAGUGGCGGACGGGUGAGUAAUGUAUCGCUAACGUGCCCCGGAGUCUGGGAUAGCUGCCCGAAAGGGCAGGUAAUACCAGGUGAUAUAUCCGAAUCGCAUGAUUUGGAUCUCAAAGGGAAACCGUUCUGGGAGCGGGCGAUAUCGUAUCAGCUAGUUGGUAGGGUAACGGCCUACCAAGGCGACGACGCGUAGCCGGACUGAGAGGUUGGCCGGCCACAUUGGGACUGAGACACUGCCCAGACUCCUACGGGGGGCUGCAGUAACGAAUCUUCCGCAAUGCACGCAAGUGUGACGGAGCGACGCCGCGUGUGGGACGAAGUCCUUCGGGAUGUAAACCACUGUCAGGGGUUAGAAAGUUCUGAUCAACCCCAGAGGAAGGCACGGCUAACUCUGUGCCAGCAGCCGCGGUAAGACAGAGGUGCCAAGCGUUAGGCGGAAUCACUGGGCUUAAAGCGUGUGUAGGUGGACUGGUAAGUACCUUGUGAAAUCCCACGGCUUAACCGUGGAACUGCUUGGUAUACUGCUGGUCUUGAGCAACCUAGGGGCGAGCGGAACAAAUGGUGGAGCGGUGAAAUGCGUAGAUAUCAUUUGGAACGCCAAUGGUGAAAACAGCUCGCUGGGGGUUUGCUGACACUGAGACACGAAAGCCAGGGGAGCAAACGGGAUUAGAUACCCCGGUAGUCCUGGCUAUAAACGAUGUCCACUAGAUCGCAGAGGCUCUGACGCCUUUGCGGUCGAAGCAAAAGUGCUAAGUGGACCGCCUGGGAAGUACGGUCGCAAGGCUAAAACUCAAGGAAUUGACGGGGGCUCACACAAGCGGUGAGCAUGUGGUUUAAUUCGAAGCAACGCGCAGAACCUUACCUGGGCUUGAAAUGUAGUGUUCAAU